AGCGAACGCUGGCGGCAGGCCUAACACAUGCAAGUCGAGCGCCCAGCAAUGGGAGCGGCAGACGGGAUAGUAACACGUGGGAACGUACCUUUCAGUUCGGAACAACCAAGGGAAACUUUGGCUAAUACCGAAUACGCCCGUAAGGGGAAAGAUUUAUCGCUGAAAGAUCGGCCCGCGUCUGAUUAGCUAGUUGGUGAGGUAAUGGCUCACCAAGGCGACGAUCAGUAGCUGGUCUGAGAGGAUGAUCAGCAUCACUGGGACUGAGACACGGCCCAGACUCCUACGGGAGGCAGCAGUGGGGAAUAUUGGACAAUGGGCGCAAGCCUGAUCCAGCCAUGCCGCGUGAGUGAUGAAGGCCUUAGGGUUGUAAAGCUCUUUCGUCAGGGAAGAUAAUGACGGUACCUGAAGAAGAAGCCCCGGCUAACUUCGUGCCAGCAGCCGCGGU
This 445-nucleotide ribosomal RNA is filed under the name uncultured bacterium. Its description in RNAcentral is "bacterial SSU rRNA". It matches the Rfam family "Bacterial small subunit ribosomal RNA", at positions 29 to 521 of the family's 1533-position model. The record is from RNAcentral.